UACAGAGGUCCCAAGCGUUGUUCGGAUUCACUGGGCGUAAAGGGUGCGUAGGCGGUCGGGUAAGUCUGAUGUGAAAUCUCACAGCUUAACUGUGAAACUGCAUUGGAUACUAUUCGGCUUGAGAGUUGGGAGGGGGACUGGAAUUCUUGGUGUAGCAGUGAAAUGCGUAGAUAUCAAGAGGAACACCAGUGGCGAAGGCGAGUCCCUGGACAACUUCUGACGCUGAGGCACGAAAGCUAGGGGAGCAAACAGG
This 253-nucleotide ribosomal RNA is filed under the name uncultured bacterium. Its description in RNAcentral is "partial 16S ribosomal RNA". It matches the Rfam family "Bacterial small subunit ribosomal RNA", at positions 524 to 776 of the family's 1533-position model. The record is from RNAcentral.